CCUACGGGUGGCAGCAGUGGGGAAUAUUGCACAAUGGGGGAAACCCUGAUGCAGCGACGCCGCGUGAGCGAAGACGUAUUUCGGUAUGUAAAGCUCUAUCAGCAGGGAAGAAAAUGACGGUACCUGACUAAGAAGCCCCGGCUAACUACGUGCCAGCAGCCGCGGUAAGACGUAGGGGGCAAGCGUUAUCCGGAUUUACUGGGUGUAAAGGGAGCGUAGACGGCUUUGCAAGUCUGAAGUGAAAGCCCAGGGCUCAACCUUGGGACUGCUUUGGAAACUGUAGAGCUUGAGUACCGGAGGGGUAAGCGGAAUUCGUAGUGUAGCGGUGAAAUGCGUAGAUAUUAAGAGGAACACCGGUGGCGAAGGCAGCUUACUGGACGGUAACUGACGUUGAGGCUCGAAAGCGUGGGGAGCAAACAGGAUUAGAUACCCUUGUAGUC
Molecule: ribosomal RNA, 440 nt
Filed under: uncultured bacterium
Lineage: Bacteria
Description: partial 16S ribosomal RNA
Rfam family: Bacterial small subunit ribosomal RNA
Source: RNAcentral